UUAAGCGACUAAGCGUACACGGUGGAUGCCCUGGCAGUCAGAGGCGAUGAAGGACGUGCUAAUCUGCGAUAAGCGUCGGUAAGGUGAUAUGAACCGUUAUAACCGGCGAUUUCCGAAUGGGGAAACCCAGUGUGAUUCGUCACACUAUCAUUAACUGAAUCCAUAGGUUAAUGAGGCGAACCGGGGGAACUGAAACAUCUAAGUACCCCGAGGAAAAGAAAUCAACCGAGAUUCCCCCAGUAGCGGCGAGCGAACGGGGAGGAGCCCAGAGCCUGAAUCAGUGUGUGUGUUAGUGGAAGCGUCUGGAAAGGCGCGCGAUACAGGGUGACAGCCCCGUACACAAAAAUGCACAUACUGUGAGCUCGAUGAGUAGGGCGGGACACGUGGUAUCCUGUCUGAAUAUGGGGGGACCAUCCUCCAAGGCUAAAUACUCCUGACUGACCGAUAGUGAACCAGUACCGUGAGGGAAAGGCGAAAAGAACCCCGGCGAGGGGAGUGAAAAAGAACCUGAAACCGUGUACGUACAAGCAGUGGGAGCCUCUUAAUGGGGUGACUGCGUACCUUUUGUAUAAUGGGUCAGCGACUUAUAUUCUGUAGCAAGGUUAACCGAAUAGGGGAGCCGAAGGGAAACCGAGUCUUAACUGGGCGUUAAGUUGCAGGGUAUAGACCCGAAACCCGGUGAUCUAGCCAUGGGCAGGUUGAAGGUUGGGUAACACUAACUGGAGGACCGAACCGACUAAUGUUGAAAAAUUAGCGGAUGACUUGUGGCUGGGGGGGAAAGGCCAAUCAAACCGGGAGAUAGCUGGUUCUCCCCGAAAGCUAUUUAGGUAGCGCCUCGUGAAUUCAUCUCCGGGGGUAGAGCACUGUUUCGGCAAGGGGGUCAUCCCGACUUACCAACCCGAUGCAAACUGCGAAUACCGGAGAAUGUUAUCACGGGAGACACACGGCGGGUGCUAACGUCCGUCGUGAAGAGGGAAACAACCCAGACCGCCAGCUAAGGUCCCAAAGUCAUGGUUAAGUGGGAAACGAUGUGGGAAGGCCCAGACAGCCAGGAUGUUGGCUUAGAAGCAGCCAUCAUUUAAAGAAAGCGUAAUAGCUCACUGGUCGAGUCGGCCUGCGCGGAAGAUGUAACGGGGCUAAACCAUGCACCGAAGCUGCGGCAGCGACGCUUAUGCGUUGUUGGGUAGGGGAGCGUUCUGUAAGCCUGUGAAGGUGGCCUGUGAGGGUUGCUGGAGGUAUCAGAAGUGCGAAUGCUGACAUAAGUAACGAUAAAGCGGGUGAAAAGCCCGCUCGCCGGAAGACCAAGGGUUCCUGUCCAACGUUAAUCGGGGCAGGGUGAGUCGACCCCUAAGGCGAGGCCGAAAGGCGUAGUCGAUGGGAAACAGGUUAAUAUUCCUGUACUUGGUGUUACUGCGAAGGGGGGACGGAGAAGGCUAUGUUGGCCGGGCGACGGUUGUCCCGGUUUAAGCGUGUAGGCUGGUUUUCCAGGCAAAUCCGGAAAAUCAAGGCUGAGGCGUGAUGACGAGGCACUACGGUGCUGAAGCGACAAAUGCCCUGCUUCCAGGAAAAGCCUCUAAGCAUCAGGUAACAUUAAAUCGUACCCCAAACCGACACAGGUGGUCAGGUAGAGAAUACCAAGGCGCUUGAGAGAACUCGGGUGAAGGAACUAGGCAAAAUGGUGCCGUAACUUCGGGAGAAGGCACGCUGAUAUGUAGGUGAAGCGACUUGCUCGUGGAGCUGAAAUCAGUCGAAGAUACCAGCUGGCUGCAACUGUUUAUUAAAAACACAGCACUGUGCAAACACGAAAGUGGACGUAUACGGUGUGACGCCUGCCCGGUGCCGGAAGGUUAAUUGAUGGGGUUAGCGGUAACGCGAAGCUCUUGAUCGAAGCCCCGGUAAACGGCGGCCGUAACUAUAACGGUCCUAAGGUAGCGAAAUUCCUUGUCGGGUAAGUUCCGACCUGCACGAAUGGCGUAAUGAUGGCCAGGCUGUCUCCACCCGAGACUCAGUGAAAUUGAACUCGCUGUGAAGAUGCAGUGUACCCGCGGCAAGACGGAAAGACCCCGUGAACCUUUACUAUAGCUUGACACUGAAUAUUGAGCCUUGAUGUGUAGGAUAGGUGGGAGGCUUUGAAGUGUGGACGCCAGUCUGCAUGGAGCCGACCUUGAAAUACCACCCUUUAAUGUUUGAUGUUCUAACGUGGGCCCCUUACCGGGGUUGCGGACAGUGUCUGGUGGGUAGUUUGACUGGGGCGGUCUCCUCCUAAAGAGUAACGGAGGAGCACGAAGGUUGGCUAAUCCUGGUCGGACAUCAGGAGGUUAGUGCAAUGGCAUAAGCCAGCUUGACUGCGAGCGUGACGGCGCGAGCAGGUGCGAAAGCAGGUCAUAGUGAUCCGGUGGUUCUGAAUGGAAGGGCCAUCGCUCAACGGAUAAAAGGUACUCCGGGGAUAACAGGCUGAUACCGCCCAAGAGUUCAUAUCGACGGCGGUGUUUGGCACCUCGAUGUCGGCUCAUCACAUCCUGGGGCUGAAGUAGGUCCCAAGGGUAUGGCUGUUCGCCAUUUAAAGUGGUACGCGAGCUGGGUUUAGAACGUCGUGAGACAGUUCGGUCCCUAUCUGCCGUGGGCGCUGGAGAACUGAGGGGGGCUGCUCCUAGUACGAGAGGACCGGAGUGGACGCAUCACUGGUGUUCGGGUUGUCAUGCCAAUGGCACUGCCCGGUAGCUAAAUGCGGAAGAGAUAAGUGCUGAAAGCAUCUAAGCACGAAACUUGCCCCGAGAUGAGUUCUCCCUGACUCCUUGAGAGUCCUGAAGGAACGUUGAAGACGACGACGUUGAUAGGCCGGGUGUGUAAGCGCAGCGAUGCGUUGAGCUAACCGGUACUAAUGAACCGUGAGGCUUAACCUU
RNAcentral lists this ribosomal RNA (2903 nucleotides) under Escherichia coli HVH 108 (4-6924867). RNAcentral's name for it is "bacterial LSU rRNA". It matches the Rfam family "Bacterial large subunit ribosomal RNA". Lineage: Bacteria; Pseudomonadati; Pseudomonadota; Gammaproteobacteria; Enterobacterales; Enterobacteriaceae. The record is from RNAcentral.